Molecule: ribosomal RNA, 497 nt
Filed under: uncultured bacterium
Lineage: Bacteria
Description: partial 16S ribosomal RNA
Rfam family: Bacterial small subunit ribosomal RNA
Source: RNAcentral
GAUGAACGCUGGCGGCGUGCCUAAUACAUGCAAGUCGAGCGAACAGACGAGGAGCUUUCUCCUCUGACGUUAGCGGCGGACGGGUGAGUAACACGUGGAUAACCUACCUAUAAGACUGGGAUAACUUCGUGAAACCGGAUCUAAUACCGGAUAAUAUAUUGAACCGCAUGGUUCAAUAGUGAAAGACGGUUUUGCUUUCACUUAUAGAUGGAUCCGCGCCGCAUUAGCUAGUUGGUAAGGUAACGGCUUACCAAGGCGACGAUGCGUAGCCGACCUGAGAGGGUGAUCGGCCACCCUGGAACUGAGACACGGUCCAGACUCCUACGGGAGGCAGCAGUAGGGAAUCUUCCGCAAUGGGCGAAAGCCUGACGGAGCAACGCCGCGUGAGUGAUGAAGGUCUUCGGAUCGUAAAACUCUGUUAUUAGGGAAGAACAAAUGUGUAAGUAACUAUGCACGUCUUGACGGUACCUAAUCAGAAAGCCACGGCUAACUACGUG